Molecule: unclassified non-coding RNA, 332 nt
Filed under: soil metagenome
Description: partial contains 5.8S ribosomal RNA, internal transcribed spacer 2, and large subunit ribosomal RNA
Rfam family: 5.8S ribosomal RNA (bases 1-120)
Source: RNAcentral
GAUGAAGAACGCAGCAAAAUGCGAUAAGUAAUGUGAAUUGCAGAAUUCAGUGAAUCAUCGAAUCUUUGAACGCACAUUGCGCCCGCCAGUAUUCUGGCGGGCAUGCCUGUUCGAGCGUCAUUUCAACCCUCAAGCACAGCUUGGUGUUGGGACUCGCGUUAAUUCGCGUUCCUCAAAUUGAUUGGCGGUCACGUCGAGCUUCCAUAGCGUAGUAGUAAAACCCUCGUUACUGGUAAUCGUCGCGGCCACGCCGUUAAACCCCAACUUCUGAAUGUUGACCUCGGAUCAGGUAGGAAUACCCGCUGAACUUAAGCAUAUAAAUAAGCGGAGGA